UAAUACGAAGGGACCUAGCGUAGUUCGGAAUUACUGGGCUUAAAGAGUUCGUAGGUGGUUGAAAAAGUUGGUGGUGAAAUCCCAGAGCUUAACUCUGGAACUGCCAUCAAAACUUUUCAGCUAGAGUAUGAUAGAGGAAAGCAGAAUUUCUAGUGUAGAGGUGAAAUUCGUAGAUAUUAGAAAGAAUACCAAUUGCGAAGGCAGCUUUCUGGAUCAUUACUGACACUGAGGAACGAAAGCAUGGGUAGCGAAGAGGAUUAGAUACCCUCGUAGUCCAUGCCGUAAACGAUGUGUGUUAGACGUUGGAAAUUUAUUUUCAGUGUCGCAGCGAAAGCGAUAAACACACCGCCUGGGGAGUACGACCGCAAGGUUAAAACUCAAAUGAAUUGACGGGGACCCGCACAAGUAGUGGAGCAUGUGGUUUAAUUCGAAGAUACGCGCAGAACCUUACCAACACUUGACAUGUUCGUCGCGACUUUAAGAGAUUAAAGUUUUCGGUUCGGCCGGACGAAACACAGGUGCUGCAUGGCUGUCGUCAGCUCGUGUCGUGAGAUGUUGGGUUAAGUCCCGCAACGAGCGCAACCCUCACUUUUAGUUGCCAUCAUUUAGUUGGGCACUCUGAAAGAACUGCCAGUGAUAAGCUGGAGGAAGGUGGGGAUGACGUCAAGUCCUCAUGGCCCUUACGUGUUGGGCUACACACGUGCUACAAUGGUAUCUACAACAGGAAGCAAAACCGCGAGGUUAAGCAAAUCCUUAAAAGAUACCUCAGUUCGGAUUGCACUCUGCAACUCGAGUGCAUGAAGCUGGAAUUACUAGUAAUCGUGGAUCAGCGUGCCACGGUGAAUGCGUUCCCGGGUCUUGUACACACCGCCCGUCACACCAUGGGAGUUGGUUCUACCUUAAGGCAAGGUUUUAAACCCUUGACCACGGUAUAGUCAGCGACUGGGGUGAAGUCGUAACAAGGUAGCCG
This 970-nucleotide ribosomal RNA is filed under the name uncultured bacterium. RNAcentral describes it as "bacterial SSU rRNA". It matches the Rfam family "Bacterial small subunit ribosomal RNA", at positions 521 to 1502 of the family's 1533-position model. The record is from RNAcentral.